This 447-nucleotide ribosomal RNA is filed under the name uncultured bacterium. RNAcentral describes it as "bacterial SSU rRNA". It matches the Rfam family "Bacterial small subunit ribosomal RNA", at positions 355 to 825 of the family's 1533-position model. The record is from RNAcentral.
UCGGGAAUUUUGGGCAAUGGGCGAAAGCCUGACCCAGCAACGCCGCGUGAAGGAUGAAGUAUUUCGGUAUGUAAACUUCGUAAGAAUAGGAAGAAUAAAUGACGGUACUAUUUGUAAGGUCCGGCUAACUACGUGCCAGCAGCCGCGGUAAUACGUAGGGACCAAGCGUUGUUCGGAUUUACUGGGCGUAAAGGGCGCGUAGGCGGUGUGUCAAGUCAGUUGUGAAAUCUCCGAGCUUAACUCGGAACGGUCAACUGAUACUGUCACACUAGAGUACAGAAGGGGCAAUCGGAAUUCUUGGUGUAGCGGUGAAAUGCGUAGAUAUCAAGAGGAACACCUGAGGUGAAGACGGGUUGCUGGGCUGACACUGACGCUGAGGCGCGAAAGCCAGGGGAGCAAACGGGAUUAGAUACCCAUGUAGUCCCUGAGCGGGCUGGCAAGGCGCAU